AGGCUCUGGGGUGUCACACGUGAGGUCGCAAACCUCAAGAAGCAGGAUAGACCCUGCCGGGGCUUC
RNAcentral lists this transfer RNA (66 nucleotides) under Dryophytes andersonii (pine barrens treefrog). RNAcentral's name for it is "tRNA-Cys". Lineage: Eukaryota; Metazoa; Chordata; Amphibia; Anura; Hylidae. The record is from RNAcentral.